AUUGAACGCUGGCGGCAUGCCUUACACAUGCAAGUCGAACGGCAGCACGGGGGCAACCCUGGUGGCGAGUGGCGAACGGGUGAGUAAUGCAUCGGAACGUGUCCUCUUGUGGGGGAUAACCAGUCGAAAGAUUGGCUAAUACCGCAUGAGAUCGCAAGAUGAAAGCGGGGGACCGCAAGGCCUCGCGCGAGAGGAGCGGCCGAUGCCGGAUUAGCUAGUUGGUGGGGUAACGGCCUACCAAGGCGACGAUCCGUAGCUGGUCUGAGAGGACGACCAGCCACACUGGGACUGAGACACGGCCCAGACUCCUACGGGAGGCAGCAGUGGGGAAUCUUGGACAAUGGGCGCAAGCCUGAUCCAGCCAUGCCGCGUGUGUGAAGAAGGCCUUCGGGUUGUAAAGCACUUUCGGACGGAACGAAAUCGCGCGGACGAACAUUCCGCGUGGAUGACGGUACCGUAAGAAGAAGCACCGGCUAACUACGUGCCAGCCGCCGCAGUAA
Molecule: ribosomal RNA, 500 nt
Filed under: uncultured bacterium
Lineage: Bacteria
Description: partial 16S ribosomal RNA
Rfam family: Bacterial small subunit ribosomal RNA
Source: RNAcentral